Molecule: ribosomal RNA, 586 nt
Filed under: uncultured bacterium
Lineage: Bacteria
Description: bacterial SSU rRNA
Rfam family: Bacterial small subunit ribosomal RNA
Source: RNAcentral
ACGGGUGAGUAAUAUAUCGGAACGUGCCCAGUCGUGGGGGAUAACGCAGCGAAAGCUGUGCUAAUACCGCAUACGAUCUACGGAUGAAAGCGGGGGACUCGCAAGAGCCUCGCGCGAUUGGAGCGGCUGAUAUCAGAUUAGCUAGUUGGUGGGGUAAAGGCCUACCAAGGCGACGAUCUGUAGCUGGUCUGAGAGGACGACCAGCCACACUGGAACUGAGACACGGUCCAGACUCCUACGGGAGGCAGCAGUGGGGAAUUUUGGACAAUGGGCGCAAGCCUGAUCCAGCAAUGCCGCGUGCAGGAUGAAGGCCUUCGGGUUGUGAACUGCUUUUGUACGGAGCGAAAAGGCUUCUCCUAAUACGAGAGGCUCAUGACGGUACCGUAAGAAUAAGCACCGGCUAACUACGUGCCAGCAGCCGCGGUAAUACGUAGGGUGCGAGCGUUAAUCGGAAUUACUGGGCGUAAAGCGUGCGCAGGCGGUUUUGUAAGACAGAUGUGAAAUCCCCGGGCUCAACCUGGGACCUGCAUUUGUGACUGCAAGGCUAGAGUACGGUAGAGGGGGAUGGAAUUCCGCGUGUAGCAGU